GCUAACGGCCAUAUCAGCCUGGGUACGCCCGAUCUCGUCUGAUCUCGGAAGCUAAGCAGGGUCGGGCCUGGUUAGUACUUGGAUGGGAGACCGCCUGGGAAUACCAGGUGCUGUAAGCA
This 119-nucleotide ribosomal RNA is filed under the name Salmo salar (Atlantic salmon). The record is from RNAcentral. Lineage: Eukaryota; Metazoa; Chordata; Actinopteri; Salmoniformes; Salmonidae.